AUGGAACUUAUUCCCACAACACAUGAUCUGCAAAAUAAGGUUUGGCCAACUAAGACUUCUUUGCAGUUGCUGAAAGAAGAGCAAAGGACAUACUUCUUUAUGGCCAUAUUUGUUUAAGAAAAAGAGAAAAUAAAAUAAGCUAAAUACAGGUUAAGGAUCUGCCUUUGGCUCAGGUCUUGAUCUCAGGGUCCUGGGAUUGGGUUGCACAUUGGACUCUCUGCUCAGCAGGGAGUCUGCUUCUGUCUCUCCCUGACUUGCACUCUCUCAAUCCUCUCUUUCCGUCUCAAAUAAAUAAAUCAUCUUUAAAAAAAAAAAAAAAAGGAGGAAGGAAGAAAAGAAGAAAAGAGAGAAAGAAAGAAAAAGAAAAUAAGCCAAAUAGCUUCAGUUACACAUUGGAUUGCAUCUCAGAAAACUAAAGCCAAAGCAGGGAGACUAAUCCUGGUUGGGAUCUCCAUGGUUGUGAGCCCUAAAUGCUCAAAUUUUCAGCAACUGUUAUUGCCAUUCAUUGUGCCAGCCACAGGUAAUUUACAUAAUACAAUAAUAGUAGGUAUGGCUUCCAUUUAAAAUGGUUAUUGAGGAAGAUAAAUUAAUGGAUAUAUAAAAGCAUAGAUCAAUAGAUAGGUUGCAUAUGUAAUAGUAAAGAUGUCCUUCAGUUUUAUUUAAGCACAAAAGGUUUUUGGAGGAGGUAUUGCUGUGGGGAACAGUGUAGUUCUUGCUGUGUUCUAGAACCUAUAUGUGUGAAAGACAGAACAUGAAUGCAUAACUAUAGUAAUAAGAUGGGUCAGAAAUCUAUCAUAGAGAUUCAGACGAUAACUUCUUAGAAGGGGUUCAAAAGUGGAGAGGGAAGAAAAUUUUGGUGGUAAACUGUAAGAAAAUGUUAGUGAUUUUAUUUGUAAUAAGAGUUAAAUUCUAUUUUGAUGAUUGACUCUAAACAGCUUUUAGACCUCACGUUUGCCUCUUCUUGUGCCCCACACCUGGGCAAAGAGAUAAGGAACCCCAAGUGUUUCCCUUCAGCACUUGCAGGAGAUUCAAACCACCCAAUUUCCUGCCUUUCUAUGGGAGUCCUCACCCAGGCCCACCCCUGACCACAACAAAAACCCCAGCCCUGGAUGCUUUCCUUGCUUUCUCAAGCUGUUGUGGAACUUCUUGAGACUGCUCUGCUCAUCUCUGAGACCUCAAAUAACUAAAAGGAGAAAUAAGAACCAUAUCAUUAUAUCCAGAAGACAUUGGAUAUUUCCACAAUUAAUAAAAAAGACAAUUUCAGGAUCACUGAUUUCUAUUUCCAGCAGUACAGUUGUUAGCUCCCAAAACUCUCGCAUAAUCUCCUUCCUUAGGAUAACUAACACACAAAAAAAACAUGGGUUGAUUUGUAAAGAAGAGCACAGGAAGUCUCAGAUGUGACAGAGACUGACAGACCACAUAGGAAAAUCUCAGUUCCCAGUUUCCUGCAGUGCAGCAGGAGCUAGGUGACUAAGUCUGCAUACACCUUAAAACCCCUGCACAGACUGUCAUUUGGAGUGACCUCAAGGCAGUGGACUCUGUGAAAAACUGCGACAAAGCUCAGAUGGAUAGACAGUCACAAGCUGGAAAGAGCUUGGAUGCUCAAAUCACCAUGUAGAAAAGCCCCCAAAAGCAAUAUACAUCAGACUGUGAUAUGGACAAAAACAACAACUACCAAAAACCUACAUACUGUGUUCAGCCACCGAGGUAGAGGACUGUUAAUUAUAAUAGCUCGGAGCAAAUAUUCUAACAUGCUGAAUAAAUCAACUUUUACAGGAAUCAAUUAUAAUGUAUAUGUGUGAUUAUACCAUCUCUUAAAAGGAUAUUGUUCAAAUAUAAUCAUAAUACUUAUUGGGGGGAGCAAAGAAUUUAAAAGACAUAAGUGCAACCAGAAAUCAUUAAUGUUUAUAAUAAGCAUGUUCUCUUUGAAGUCACAACAAUAGCAUCAAAAACACGUGUGUACAUAAAAAAAAUCUUUCCUAAUAGAUGGAUACACAGACUACUAGACAGGAAAUACAGCAGGUUUUAUGAGAGCGGGUACCCAGACCAUGCUAUUUACUGUGGUAUCCUUAACAUUUAAUACGGCUCCAGCACAUCACAGGUGCUCUAAAACACUCGGAUAAACCACUGAAUAAAAGGAAUUGUGGGGAUCAUUUGCAUUACUGAUCUUUUUUGCCUGCUGUAUUAGACAACCAACAUUCAGCUGGGUUUACUAAAGAUAAGAUAAUUCAUUGCAGUAGGUUGAAAUCUACCCACAUUGAGGAUACAAAACAGGAAUAACCAAGUAAAACAAAAAUUUUCAAGGGUUAAAAACAAAACAAUGAGCCAAAAAACCCAAACUAAUAUUUUUUUUAUUCUCGUAGUGUAAAUGUUUUGUUUUCUAAAUUAACAAUCAUAUGUUAUAUAUCUAAACCUUUUAAGCUAUAGGAUUUUUAGAGAAACUACUGCUCUAUUACAGAAUUUU
Mustela putorius furo (domestic ferret) is the source of this 2464-nucleotide long non-coding RNA. Lineage: Eukaryota; Metazoa; Chordata; Mammalia; Carnivora; Mustelidae. The record is from Ensembl.